Molecule: long non-coding RNA, 618 nt
Organism: Bombina bombina (fire-bellied toad)
Lineage: Eukaryota; Metazoa; Chordata; Amphibia; Anura; Bombinatoridae
Exons: 4
Source: RefSeq, a predicted model, not a curated record
AAACUCUCCGCCCCUGUAGCUCUGAUGACGUCACGGAGGGGGGUGUCCUAAGCAGGAAGUGUUUGUGUGUAAGUUCCUAGCAGCACCCAAGGAGGGGGUUAAUAUUUGUGCAUCUCGGUCCCCCCCAGAUCCAGUGGGAGAAUUCUCGCUGCAGGUCCUGCAUUGACCAGCUGGAUUUGGGGGACCCUUAUCUGUGAAGAUGGCUUGUGAAUUUUUCCUUCUUUCUUCCAUAUGGUUUGUAGUGGUCAUUUCUUGGAUGGAGACAAUUAACAUGUGGCUCUUCCUUUGCCAUCUAAUGCAAGACGGUGUGUUGCUUCAGUACGCAGAACGAUUUAAUUUUAACCAACCAGACCAUAUAUUAUACAUAAUUAUCAGAGUCCAUUCCCUGAGGUAGCAUUAGACCUGUCCAGAGCUCCGAAGGUUGAUUUGAGAAGUGCGGGCACCUGGGCGAUGGACAUAUCCUUAUGUGGGACCGAAAGAGAGGACAUGAUUUUAAUUCAGUAUUUGUACAAAUAAUAAACAAUGAUCUCUUAUGUAGUAAACAAUUCAAGUUUUGAAUGUGACAUUUUGAUAAUUUUUGCAGAUUACCAAAUUUGUGCCAUAAAUGACUACAUCAUA